AUGUUGAAAGCUUUGUAUUUGGUUGUGGCCGAAGCAACAAAGGUUUGUUUGGUGGAGCUUCUGGUCUAAUGGGUUUGGGAAGAAGCUCAGUCUCUUUAGUCUCCCAAACCAUGAAAAGUUUCAACGGUGUUUUCUCAUACUGUCUACCUUCUCUUGAAGAUGGAGCUUCAGGCUCACUAUCCUUCGGUGAUGAUUACAAGAACUCAACCUCAGUUUCAUACACUCCUUUAGUGCAAAACCCUCAGCUUAGUUCCUUUUACGUUCUGAACCUCACCGGAGCUAGCAUUGGUGGCGUGGAGCUGGAGUCUUCAAGCUUUGGUAGAGGGAUUCUAAUCGAUUCAGGAACGGUCAUCACUAGGUUGCCGCCUUCCAUUUACAAAGCUGUGAAGAGAGAGUUUCUAAAACAGUUCUCUGGGUUUCCUUCAGCUCCAAGCUAUUCAAUCUUAGACACUUGUUUUAACCUCACAAGUUAUGAAGACGUCAGCAUACCAACUAUCAAAAUGAUCUUCCAAGGUAACGCUGAGCUUGAAGUGGAUGUCACUGGUGUGUUCUACUUUGUCAAGCCUGAUGCAUCUCUAGUCUGCUUGGCCUUGGCAAGCCUUUCAUAUGAAAACGAAGUCGGUAUUAUUGGAAACUACCAACAGAAAAACCAGAGAGUGAUAUAUGAUACCAAACAAGAGAAGCUUGGGAUAGCAGGAGAAAACUGCAGUUUCUGAUGUCUAUCCAAUGACUUGUAUAAUAAGCUUUGUGUGUUCCCCCCCUCAUAUCAUGAAAGCCAAUCAUCUUUUUUGGUAAAGUCUUUGAAACAAAAAAUUAUAAAGUAGAAAAAUAAUCAAAUAAAGAAAGAUCAUUUUAUAUUAAGAGUAAUAAAACAAAUCCCACUAUAUAAAAGGGACUAAUUGAGAAAGAUAUGUGUAGAUACUGUAUCUUUGCUUUAGUUUAGUAUUUAAUUGCGUGAUUUAAGGGUUAGAUUAGCAAAAGCCUCAACAUUUGUAAACAUUUUAAUUAAAGUCAUUACCUUUACAUUACUUUUCUUAGCUCCCUUUCUUUCAAUUGGGAUUAGUAAUAGUACUAUAGUUGUUUUUCUAAAGCUUUACACAUGUAUUUAUAGAAUCUUAAGAUUCUUUCCUCCAUAAGAGAACACUCAUCUAACAUAAAUGUUUGUAUCUUUUGCUUGUAAACUCUGUUUCUAAUCAUCUGUUUUUGAUAUCCCCUUGUUGACUCUUUAUUUUUGUUUAAAAAACUUAGGCAAAGGAAGAGAAUCAUCCACUACACUGGAGAUGAAACAUAGAGAAAUUUGCUCAGGAAAGACUAUAGAUUGGGGUAAGAAGCUGAGAAGAGCCUUGACUCUAGACAACCUCAGAGUCCAAUCAAUUCAGCUAAAAAUCAAAGCCAUGAGCUCAAGCACCACAGAAUCCAUUUCAGAAGCUCAGACUCCACUAACCUCAGGGAUGAAGCUUCAGACUCUGAACUACAUUGUCACAGUUGAUCUAGGAGGGAGAAACAUGACUUUGAUCGUCGACACUGGAAGUGACUUGACAUGGGUCCAAUGCCAGCCUUGCAAGUCAUGUUACAACCAACAAGGUCCUUUGUAUGACCCAUCAGUCUCAUCUUCUUACAAGACAGUGUUCUGCAACUCAUCAACUUGUCAGGAUCUUGUAGAAGCAACAGGCAAUUCAGGCCUCUGUGGAGGUAACAAUGGUGUUGAUAAGACGACUUGUGACUACGUUGUCAGCUAUGGGGAUGGAUCAUACACUCGUGGAGACUUGGGAAGUGAAAGUAUCCAACUCGGCGACACAAAUGUUGAAAGCUUUGUAUUUGGUUGUGGCCGAAGCAACAAAGGUUUGUUUGGUGGAGCUUCUGGUCUAAUGGGUUUGGGAAGAAGCUCAGUCUCUUUAGUCUCCCAAACCAUGAAAAGUUUCAACGGUGUUUUCUCAUACUGUCUACCUUCUCUUGAAGAUGGAGCUUCAGGCUCACUAUCCUUCGGUGAUGAUUACAAGAACUCAACCUCAGUUUCAUACACUCCUUUAGUGCAAAACCCUCAGCUUAGUUCCUUUUACGUUCUGAACCUCACCGGAGCUAGCAUUGGUGGCGUGGAGCUGGAGUCUUCAAGCUUUGGUAGAGGGAUUCUAAUCGAUUCAGGAACGGUCAUCACUAGGUUGCCGCCUUCCAUUUACAAAGCUGUGAAGAGAGAGUUUCUAAAACAGUUCUCUGGG
Molecule: long non-coding RNA, 2216 nt
Filed under: Brassica napus (rape)
Lineage: Eukaryota; Viridiplantae; Streptophyta; Magnoliopsida; Brassicales; Brassicaceae
Description: long non-coding RNA (BNAP_LNC006160)
Source: RNAcentral